RNAcentral lists this transfer RNA (76 nucleotides) under bacterium. Its description in RNAcentral is "tRNA-Lys". It matches the Rfam family "tRNA". From Rfam's summary of the family: Transfer RNA (tRNA) molecules are approximately 80 nucleotides in length. Their secondary structure includes four short double-helical elements and three loops (D, anti-codon, and T loops). Further hydrogen bonds mediate the characteristic L-shaped molecular structure. tRNAs have two regions of fundamental functional importance: the anti-codon, which is responsible for specific mRNA codon recognition, and the 3' end, to which the tRNAs corresponding amino acid is attached (by aminoacyl-tRNA synthetases). tRNAs cope with the degeneracy of the genetic code in two manners: having more than one tRNA (with a specific anti-codon) for a particular amino acid; and 'wobble' base-pairing, i.e. permitting non-standard base-pairing at the 3rd anti-codon position. The record is from RNAcentral. RNAcentral also lists the same sequence under 5 other names.
GGGCUGGUAGCUCAGUUGGUAGAGCAGCGGCCUUUUAAGCCGUUUGUCCAGGGUUCGAGCCCCUGCCAGCCUACCA